RNAcentral lists this ribosomal RNA (625 nucleotides) under uncultured Lactobacillus sp. RNAcentral describes it as "bacterial SSU rRNA". It matches the Rfam family "Bacterial small subunit ribosomal RNA", at positions 28 to 609 of the family's 1533-position model. Lineage: Bacteria; Bacillati; Bacillota; Bacilli; Lactobacillales; Lactobacillaceae. The record is from RNAcentral.
GAUGAACGCCGGCGGUGUGCCUAAUACAUGCAAGUCGUACGCACUGGCCCAACUGAUUGAUGGUGCUUGCACCUGAUUGACGAUGGAUCACCAGUGAGUGGCGGACGGGUGAGUAACACGUAGGUAACCUGCCCCGGAGCGGGGGAUAACAUUUGGAAACAGAUGCUAAUACCGCAUAACAACAAAAGCCACAUGGCUUUUGUUUGAAAGAUGGCUUUGGCUAUCACUCUGGGAUGGACCUGCGGUGCAUUAGCUAGUUGGUAAGGUAACGGCUUACCAAGGCGAUGAUGCAUAGCCGAGUCGAGAGACUGAUCGGCCACAAUGGAACUGAGACACGGUCCAUACUCCUACGGGAGGCAGCAGUAGGGAAUCUUCCACAAUGGGCGCAAGCCUGAUGGAGCAACACCGCGUGAGUGAAGAAGGGUUUCGGCUCGUAAAGCUCUGUUGUUGGAGAAGAACGUGCGUGAGAGUAACUGUUCACGCAGUGACGGUAUCCAACCAGAAAGUCACGGCUAACUACGUGCCAGCAGCCGCGGUAAUACGUAGGUGGCAAGCGUUAUCCGGAUUUAUUGGGCGUAAAGCGAGCGCAGGCGGUUGCUUAGGUCUGAUGUGAAAGCCUUCGGCU